GUGCACGCUUCGGGGGCACAUACACAAAAUUGGAACAAUACAGAGAAGAUUAGCAGGGCCCCUGCCUAAGGAGGAUAUGCAAUUUCGGGAAGCGUGCCAUAUUUAA
Molecule: small nuclear RNA, 106 nt
Organism: Otolemur garnettii (small-eared galago)
Lineage: Eukaryota; Metazoa; Chordata; Mammalia; Primates; Galagidae
Source: Ensembl